AUGGUUGGGGGCAACGGGGCCGGUGUGCAUGGCUCGGUUGCUCGCCAGAUCUGGCGGCCGGCCAGCACGCGCGAGGGCGGCUGGCUGGGGCGCCUGUGCCGGAGGCGCGGUAGGCAGUCUUGUGGUGGUGCUUUUCUUUUGCCGGUGGUCGCGGAUGUGGAAGUGUCGAAACUGCCUCCGGUGAAAGCCCCCACAUUUUUCUCUUCUGUGAGCUCAUCUCUGUACCAUAGCCAUGCAUCUCUGUACAAAUCAGUAUGGCAAAUUAGCUGCGAUCUUCGGAUCGGCUCUCUCCUUCUCUAUAGGAUUAUUAGCUCAAAUGGCAAUUUAGCUGAGACCUUUCUUUCUAUUAUGCACCUCUCAUCUUUUGUUCAUUUUCGAUUGGUGACGCAUAAUACAUGGCACCUCGCAUCCUCCUUUUGUUGGCUUCUUGAUCUUGCAACGCAUGAGCAAGGUGGGACUAUUAAUUGA
RNAcentral lists this ribosomal RNA (468 nucleotides) under Triticum aestivum (bread wheat). RNAcentral's name for it is "partial small subunit ribosomal RNA". Lineage: Eukaryota; Viridiplantae; Streptophyta; Magnoliopsida; Poales; Poaceae. The record is from RNAcentral.